GUCAUUUUGUACAAUUUUUACUGUUUGAGUUGGUGGAGCCACUCGUGGCUCAGGUUGUGUGUUGGGGGGGAAAUUGCUGAGUGAGGAUUAAUUUGUUUGGUGCAAGCCUUGCAAGGGGGGUUGGGCAAUGCGAGCUUUCCUAAAGAGCUCGGAGGGGUGUUUCCAGCUGAAAUCCUACACCACGACCAUCGGGAGCCACAGAGGGGCCGACAUCGUCCUGCAGUCUGCAGGGGUAGCAGAGCGCCAUGCAGCCCUGGAAUUCUCCACCUCAGACAACAGCUUCAUCCUUCAGGACUUCAACUCCCCCCACGGCACCUUUGUCAACAGCUGCCAGGUGCAGAACGCGGCCGUCAGGGUGAGGCCUGGGGACAUCCUGAGCUUCGGCACCGCGGGAGCCUCCUUCGAGCUGGUGCUGGAUGGGGCUGCCCAGAUGUCCUGUCCCCCCUUGAAACAUCGCGUGGGGUGGAGUGGGCAGCUCCAGGCUGUUGCAGAGCCCAAACUCCUGACUCCUGCAUCUCCUCUGUGCCUGCCCUCACUGCAGGGGCAGCUUCCCCCCAACUCCCUGGGCAGAGGGGCCCCCAGAGCCCCUGGCCAUGUGCCCCAUCUGGUGCUGCCAAGGCGACCUGCGAGUGCCAGGGACAGGAGCGCAGCCAGUGCCACCUCUCUGGACACAUCCAGCAGGACCUCUGCCCUGAGGCCAGUCUCAGCCAGCUUCUCAGGGGGUGGUGCCAGCAGUGUGGGGAGAGCCCCUUCCCUGGGGCCUCACAAGGUGGAUCUCCUCCUGCAGGGGAAGCAGGGUGAGAAGCUGCUGGAGAAGGAAGUGGGCCACCUUUUUGGUUUGCAAACAGAGUUAAAGGGGAAGGAUGUGGUGGUGAGAGACCUACAGGAGGAGAUCGCAGCCAUGGCAAAGAAACUGGCCCAGGCAGCCAUGAGGAACGAGGCUGAGCUGACCCAGAAGCUGCUCACCUUCAACCAAGAGCUGGGAGCCCAAACAGAGGAGGUCAAAGCCCUGAGGGAACAGAUCAAUGACCUGCAGAAAGGCUCAAACCAAGUUUUCAGCCAUUCCCUCCACGAGAGAGACCUGGAGAUCGGGAGGCUGCGGAGGGAAAGUGAGAAGUUGAAGAAGGACCAGGCUUUGACUGCAGGUCUGCUGAGCAACAUGCAAAGAGAACUCCUGCAAAAGGAGCAGAAAAUCCAGCAGCUCCAGCAAGAGACUGAAAAACUGAGUAAGGAAAACCGAGAGAAGGACAAGCAGCUGGCUGUGGUUUCAGCCAAGUGCUCGAGAAUUAAAGAAGAAACAAAGCACGAACUCAGAGAGCAAGAACUAAUCUCUUGCAGAAAUCACAUCGAGGAGCUGCAGCGGGACCUGCAGGGGCUGCAGGGGGAGAUCCAGAAGCAUGAGAGUGUCCAGAAGCAACUGGCUGAGAAAGCCAAGGCAGAGGAGGAGCUGAAGGCAGCGUGGUCACAGCAGGAACGGCAGCUGCGGGAGAUGGAGCGCAGGGAGCGCCUGCUGCAGUCUAACAUGCAGAGAGCUGGGGAGCAGCUGGAGUCCUUCAAGACCCGAGUGAUGCAAGCCUGUUCUCCAUCAGCAGCUGGCAGCACAGGGAAAGCUGUAGCAGAGCAGCAGGUGAUAGAGAAGGUCAGGCAGAUCUCUGAUGAGAACCAACAAAGUCAUGAGAGAGAGAAGAGCCUGCAGAAGGAAUUAAGCUCCAGGCUCGCAAAGGAGAGGGAGGUGUCUGCAAACAUCGAGGUGUUCAAGAACUCCUUGCAGAAGCUCCAGGCGUGCCUGAGGAGCCCCUGCAGCAGUGCCAGCCUGCGGGGGGAGCUGGGGCAGCUGGAGCUGCUGUGCCUGGAUCCCUCUGUCUCAGCCAUCAGGACAGCAGUGGUGGACAUGGCACGUGGUCCCCUGUCCUGGCUGGAGGGUGCAGAGCAGCUCCUGGACAGCGUGGGGAUGGACCUGCACACCUCUGGCAAAGGGCUGUUGGCUGCUCUCGGGAGCUUGUUGGAAAAGAGCCAGGAGAUGGCACAGAGGAAUCAGAUGUUGCAGGAGCAAUUAGAGAAGCUCCGGGAGCUGCAGGCAGAGCUGCUGCAGGAGCACACAAGGGAGCUGGAAGCAAAGCAUGAGCAAGACUUACAGAUAAAAAUCCAGCAAAUUGUCCUGGAAAAGGACAAGGAGAGCAAACAGAUUCUGGAAAGCGCUGUCACUGAGGAGAAGGACAAGUGCAAGAAAUCUGUGGAGGAAGAACAGAGGAAGAUCCAAGAGUUAGAAAGCCACCUUAGAAGCAUGGCUGAGGAAACAGCAAAGAGGGCAGAGGAGCAGGAAUUGACAGAGGGAAAGCUGAGAGAAGCUUUGCACGAGUUGAAGCAAAUCACUGCACAAGAGGCUGUGUUACAGCAGCAGGUGCUCCAGCAGAGCCAACAGCUCAGGGCUGUGCAGGAGGAAAAUGAGCUGCAGAGGCAGAAACUGCAAGAAGAGGUGGCAGGAUAUAGGGAGCAAAGCAGGCAGCAUUCCCUGACCAUCCUGGCUUUAGAGGACAGGCUGCUCGAGGCCACUCAGCAGCAGAAGGUGCUGGAGGAGGAAAAGGCAGCACUUGUGGAAAAGAUGGAAGGACUUCAGUGUGAUGCCCACAGCUCAGCAUUGGGAGCUUGGCUGGAGAUUUGUCCUGCCAUGGAGUCUCAUGCUUGUCUGAGGAAACUGCGGGAGGAGCUGGCAGUGGUGCAGGGCAUGCUCCUGGAAAAGAAGGCAGUCAUCAGCAGGCUCAGCAGAGAGCUGUCAGAAACCAGAGCCAGGAUGUCGGACAUGAGAGGGGAGCUGAGUGAAGAGCAGAAGGUGGAGCUGGAGCACAGCCAGAGGCAGCUGAAACACCGGGAGUGGGAAGUGAACCAGCUCCGGGAGAAGCUCUCUGAGAUGUCCAGCCUUGUGGAGGAGAAGGAUCAGGCCCUGAGAGCAGCAGCUGAUGAAUUAAGCCAAGCCCAAAGGCACUGCCAGGUGCUGAGGGAUGCUUCCCAACAAACACUGGAGAACGCAGAGGAUGCUCCCAGGACGCCAGUGCAGCUGAGUGAAGCCUCCCAGAGGGAGCCACCAUCAGCCUUGGCUGAGCUCGGAGCCAAGUGCCGAGGCCUCAGGCACGAGGAAACGAUCCAGCGCCAGAAAGAAGGUUUGGCCGAGCUCCGGGCGAGAGUGAAGAUGCUGGAGAAGAGACAGUGCUCAGGUGCUGUGAAGAGCGAUUCAGAGCCACUGGUGGUCUGGAUGGAAGACUUACCAGAGAAAAUAGUCCAACAAAGAGGUCUUGAGCUGGAACCUGUUCCUGUGUUGGGAGAAAAACUGAGGGCUGGCAAGGUUCCUGACCAUGUUCCUAAUGGGAGCUCAUUCAGGAUCACCAACAGCACAGUGAGCUUGGAAAUGGCUGAGGCGACAGACAUGGGUGAGAAGAUGUACCUUGAUGUAAUCGGUGCUCUGGGAAACCUGGUGGAGAUGAAGGAGCUGUCAGGAAUGCAGCCUCUGCAGCACCUUCCUCAGGAGAGAAGGGCAGAAGUGGGACUGCAGAGACAGAAGGCCCUGGAGCUGUUGUACAAAAAGAUCAGGAACCUCCAGGUUCGCCUGGAAAGGAAAGAAAAAGUGCUGAAAGAUUACGAGGAAAGUGUGGAGCAGCUCAGGCAGAGCCAAGCUUCCCUGCGAAGGUGCCAGGAGGAGAUGUCCAACCUGGAAGAUGAAGCCCACAGGGGGGCAGAAGAGAAGGCCCUGCUGAGAGAGGCUCUGGAGAGGAUGCAGCUCCAGCUGGACCAGGAGAAGAGGCUGCGGCAAACGGCCAAACGGCACAAGCCUGGAGCCACAAAGACUCUCUGCUCGGGCAAGCCGAAGGCCAGGGGAGGUGCUGCCAGAUUGGGAAGAUCAUGGGAGCAGCACCACAGGGACCUUCACUAGGCAGUGGUCUGCAGUAGGAACAGUCAUUGCUGUGGACUCUGUCAGGGUGGGGGUGGCAUGAGUCUCCGUCGUGUCACAGGGAAACUGGAACAUAAGGCACGAUGCAGUACGGAAUUCUGGAGUUCCUGGAACUCCCCAGGAAUGCUGGACCUGCCACCUGGGAAGGGGGAAGAAGAGGACCUGUGCCAGCCACACUGGUACUGCAGCAGCAUGAGGACGAGCUGGGGAGAUGAGAGCGACAUGCCGGUGGGGUGGGAUGAUGGCACAGGCACUCGCUCACUGAUUCUGAUCGUUAGCAAAGGUGAGAGCAGACCCUGGAUUUUGGGGGGCAGCAGUGUUUUGGGGAGGGGGUCCCUGCAGGCAAUAGGCAGCUCCAGCACAUCAUCCCUGCAGCUGCUCUGCCUCAGCACCACUCGGAGCAGUCCCUGUGCCGAGUCCUCUGCAGACCCUUUCAGCUGAGGAUAAUUUGGAUGUGAGCAAAUCCCCACUGCAGUUUCUUGGUCUUCAUUUUUGAAUAGGAUAAAAAGGGUCUGGAAGCAGAGGGCUGCAGCAGGUUGA
Zonotrichia leucophrys gambelii is the source of this 4483-nucleotide RNA transcript. It is a transcript of the gene named forkhead associated phosphopeptide binding domain 1, with no coding region annotated. The record is from RefSeq and is a predicted model, not a curated record. The transcript has 29 exons. Lineage: Eukaryota; Metazoa; Chordata; Aves; Passeriformes; Passerellidae.